RNAcentral lists this long non-coding RNA (2728 nucleotides) under Homo sapiens (human). RNAcentral's name for it is "HSALNT0323929". Lineage: Eukaryota; Metazoa; Chordata; Mammalia; Primates; Hominidae. The record is from RNAcentral.
UUUAGAAAAAUACUUAUACAUUAUGAUAUUUACACCAGAAGUGGUGUGAAUCAUAGCCAGUUGCAUUCUGUAAACACCUUGGUUACAAAAAUGAUCAAUGGAGUUCUUUAAUAGAAUGCAAGUCUGCCAUUGUUUAGAAAACACCUGAAUCGUUUUCAGGAUUUGAAGUAUGUCAGCAUUGUCUGAACACAGUGGUCAAAUGCUAUCAAGUGAAUGAGAAAUCAUCACUCAGUUCAACAUUUAUUGAACACCACAAUGCUAGAAUCUAGGAAUUCAACUGUGAAUAAGGAAGUUAUGGUGUACUCUCUGUAAACUUCUCAUAAAUAAUGUCUAAAAUACAACAACAUUCCUAUUGAUGUAUAUUGCUUGCUUCCAAAGACUAUGACGCCUGUAUCCUCACACGUACAUCACCUUUAUUUUUCCUAUUCAGGUAGGCUUGGUGAUGAAGAUGGAGUAACGAAACUGACAGGUAAAUGAUAUUGCACCAGAUUAUAACUGAUAUCAGGAUGAUUUCUGCUUUUCAGGAGUGGCCACAGGUACCAAAGGAUGGCACAUCAUACCAGGAAUUUGUUGAUCUAGUGCAGUGGAACUGCAAGGCAGAGUUCAGCGGUAUCGGGAUCAAAGGAUUAGGAAGCCGCAGCUUUAAGGGAGGCAAGCAGCAUGAGAAGACUUUGUGGAGGCAGCUCUGAGCAUUUUAUGUAAGCAAUCUAUUUCAGCUUCAAAGGAAGCACUGGCUAAGUGGGUGAACAACAUGUAAAGUGCUCACUUGACAUAAAUUUUUUUUUUUUUAAGUAGCUGAGAUAAAGACAGCCUCCAAUCACUGACCUUUUAUUAUUAGUCAGAGCCCUGAGUACAAGAGAGACUUCAGCAGAGGUGGCCAACGGGCGCCUGCAGAGACUCCAGGCGCGUUCUUGCCUGUUGGUGCAAUAUUUGCAGCUGCGGCACUCUCCUUCAAGUUGUUUGUUCCACUCUCUGCCUGAUGCUAUGGGUAUCUGAUUUCUAUCUCUGGAAACAGCGUGGGAGCCAUGUGGCGGUCAAGGCUGGACUUUAACUGCAAAGGAGCACAUCACAGCAAGCUCCCAGGGAGCCGGGCACAGCUCAGUAUCAGUCUUGGUUUCACUUGAAAAAUGUACAGACCUUUUAUAAAUUAUAGGAAAGAGAUAAUGGAAUCCCUAUGCAUUUACUCUUCUCUUCAUAAACCAUGGCGAGAAUUUUUUUAAAAUUCCAUGUAUUCAGACUAGUUAAAAAAUAUGGAUAGGCUUUUGCUAAUUGUACAUUUUACUUGGUUUAAUAGAUAUAUAUAUUAGAGUAGAGCUACCAUUUGCUGUAUGUCACACGUGCCAGGCUCUGGGCUACGUACUUUCCAUGUAAAAACUCACUAUUCCUAGUGAAAAACCUUUCGGUUAAGUGUUCUACCUCCUAUUUACAGAAGAAUAAAUUGAGGCCCUGCAAGGAUUAAGGAAUCUGUACAAAGUCACACGCAGGCUGAACUAUGAAAAGCAACUAGAGGACAUUCUCCCCCUUGAAGAUAAUCACUUUUAUUGUUGCCGGGUCAAAGAUUCAGAUUCCACGCAGCAACCUCUGACUAAAGAACAGCAAGUCCUUUCAGGUCAGAAAGUCCAAUAUGCAGCCCCCUCAGAAGCAUAGCAUAAUAGUCCUAAAAUAACAAGCAUACAUGUAGCUUUCUUAAUUUGCCCUGCUGGGUUCCUGUAAUAAGUACUUAACAACUGUAGGCUCUGAGCAGCUCAGCAGACAUCAACAAGACCAUUUGCCAGAUGAUUUAGCAAACAAAUUUCCGAGCAUCUCAUGCUUAUGUUGAGUGCGUGACAUUAGCAAACAUGCAGGGACUUAGAGAUAAUAAUAGUAGAUAGGAAUUUUACAAAUUAAAAAGAGAGAGAAAGAAAGAACGGGAAUUUUGAAGUCUAGAGAAUUUAGGCUGAUAUGCCAAAUUCUCUGGCUAGAAUGAAGUCCCCCAGAUGAAUACUCAGUAACUUCUGCUAAUUUUUUACUCCUUGAGCAAAUAAUCUGAAAUUGAGUUAUUGGGAAGGGACAAAAACUCUGGAAUGACUUCCAGGGGAGGAAGAAAAGAAUAGAAACCACCUUAUUUUUUAGCACAAGUAACUGACAUGAAGCAAGCACAAAACACGAAAGGUUCUCAGUAAAUAUUUAUUGAAUGAAUGACUCCAUGUCUAUGACACGCAUGAGGAAUUGACAUCUCCAUAAAGAAAGCUAGCAGAUUCUCAACAAAUCAUAGGGGUUAGGUAAGCGGGUAGGGCGAAGGCAUUCAUCAAGGAAUCCCUCUCCAGUGUCAGGAAUCCAAGGCUCAGAGAGGGAGACAUUCUCGUGAAUCCAUCAGCAGCCCCCUGGCCCAUAACAGACUCCUUGAGAUGCUUCUAAGUGAGAGGGAAUCCAGGUGGCAAUGGCACUUACCAUUUUAAGAGCUGGAGCAAUCCUGAGGCUCUGUGGGGAAAGCAAUCAUCCCCAAAACAGGAAAACAAAUCUGACAAUAGAGCAGGGCUGGUCCUCAAUAGCCUGGGCAUGAGGAGCCAGGAAACCUGCUCUGAGGAGGGAGGUAAUUAUCCCAUCACUUCAGGUCACAGGGAAAUUCUAUUCUGUUUUCCGAGGCAACAUUUUUAACACUUACACAGACAUUUUAAAUGUGAACAACUCAAGCAAUCAUCCUAUUAUAUCUGUUAGUUUAGCUGAUUUCUUUCUUUUUUUUUUUUAA